This is a long non-coding RNA of Betta splendens (Siamese fighting fish), 1231 nucleotides long. Ensembl lists it as uncharacterized. NCBI's taxonomy places the organism in Eukaryota, Metazoa, Chordata, Actinopteri, Anabantiformes, Osphronemidae. The record is from Ensembl.
CAGUCUUCUAUCUGUUGACCCCUCUUCACAAAACGACCUAAAUCCUGACAUUCGUCUCUGUCAUGUUUUUACAGAGCAAAACAAACAAAAGUCUUUCUGAUCAUAGAGAGAAAUUGCAAGCACAACACUGUUGGCACUGUGCUACUGGAUAUUUGGAUAUCGUCAGCUGCUCAGACCCUGUAAUUCUGACCGGACUGGAUGAACUGGGACAGACAGUACUGUAUGUGCACAAGGAAGUAAAGCACAAAAGUGUGCGUGCGCGCGUGCGUGCGCGUGCGUGCGUGCGUGUGUGCGCGCGUGUGUGUGUGUGUGUGUGCGUGCGUGUGUGUGCGUGUGUGUGUGUGUAUAUAUACUGGGGCAGCUCAGAGGCAAUAAACCACCCAGGAAACCGUGUCUGGAGCUCUACAACUGCCUCAACAUGAGGAGCUUGAUUUAUUUUCUGGCUCUCGUCAGCUCAGCUGGAGCCCUUGUGUGUCAGUCCUGCUCAGAUGCUCAGUGUUCAAACACAGCACCAGUGACUUGUUCCUCAGAGACCAUGUGUCUGGCAGCUUCUGCAGAAAUCAAUGAAGAGGGCAACAUUAGACAGCUGACCUACAAGGCAUGUGCAUCAUCCUCUCUGUGUCCAGCAACUGGCAGCCAGACAUUUUCAGUCAACUUGGCUUUAUCAAAAGCAGUUUUAGCUGUUGGUUGCUGUGACACUGACAACUGCAACUCUCUAACUCCGCCUAUCCCUGCUGCUCAGUCGCUCAACAGCCUGUCAUGUAAAUACCGCGACCCUUCCCUUCCUGCUACUGGCGUCACUCAGUGUAGGGGAAUAGAAGACAGAUGCUUUCAAGUGAAGGGGACGACUGGGUCCAGCGUAGAUCAAGCUUCCGGCUGUGCAUCCAACAACCUGUGUGCUGCUGCUGCCAGUCUGGCUGCUCUGCCAAUACUACAGAGUUUCCCUUAUUUGAGGAAUCAGAUAAGUUGUUGUCAGAGCAAUUUAUGUACUGACCUUACAACAACCACCACUACACCACCACCACCACCAAAAACCACUACUACACCACCACCACCACCACCAAGAACCACCACUAGACCACCAUCACACCACCACCAGCACCACCAAGAACCACCACUACACCACCACCAGCCCCACCAAGAACCACCACUAGACCACCACCACCACCAAAAAAAGCAUAACUAACAUCACAAAAAGCACCAAUAAACAUUUAAUGAAAGUUUAUUUACA